This 424-nucleotide ribosomal RNA is filed under the name uncultured bacterium. RNAcentral describes it as "bacterial SSU rRNA". It matches the Rfam family "Bacterial small subunit ribosomal RNA", at positions 356 to 773 of the family's 1533-position model. The record is from RNAcentral.
GGGGAAUAUUGGACAAUGGGCGCAAGCCUGAUCCAGCCACGCCGCGUGAGUGAUGAAGGCCUUCGGGUCGUAAAGCUCUGUGGGGAGGGACGAACCGCUGGGUAUUAAUACCAUCCAGCAUGACGGUACCUCCUUAGCAAGCACCGGCUAACUUCGUGCCAGCAGCCGCGGUAAUACGAAGGGUGCAAACGUUGCUCGGAAUUAUUGGGCGUAAAGCGCACGUAGGCGGCUAUGUAAGUCUGAUGUGAAAUCCCUCGGCUUAACCAAGGAAGUGCAUCGGAAACUGCAUAGCUUGAGUACUUAAGAGGAUCGCGGAAUUCCCGGUGUAGAGGUGAAAUUCGUAGAUAUCGGGAGGAACACCAGUGGCGAAGGCGGCGAUCUGGGAAGAUACUGACGCUGAGGUGCGAAAGCGUGGGGAGCAAAC